Molecule: ribosomal RNA, 253 nt
Filed under: uncultured bacterium
Lineage: Bacteria
Description: partial 16S ribosomal RNA
Rfam family: Bacterial small subunit ribosomal RNA
Source: RNAcentral
CACGUAGGGCGCAAGCGUUGUCCGGAAUUAUUGGGCGUAAAGAGCUCGUAGGCGGUCUGUUACGUCUGCUGUGAAAACCCGGGGCUUAACCCUGGGCUUGCAGUGGAUACGGGCAGACUAGAGGCAGGUAGGGGAGAAUGGAAUUCCCGGUGUAGCGGUGAAAUGCGCAGAUAUCGGGAGGAACACCGGUGGCGAAGGCGGUUCUCUGGGCCUGACCUGACGCUGAGACGCGAAAGCGUGGGGAGCGAACAGG